This is a long non-coding RNA of Herpailurus yagouaroundi (jaguarundi), 627 nucleotides long. RefSeq lists it as uncharacterized. The transcript is spliced from 2 exons. NCBI's taxonomy places the organism in Eukaryota, Metazoa, Chordata, Mammalia, Carnivora, Felidae. The record is from RefSeq and is a predicted model, not a curated record.
AUAGGUUACGUUCCUCUGUGAAGUUGGCAUGCAAGAAGCUUUGGGAGGGGGUGUGAUGGGGAUGCUCUCAGGAACGAUACCUGUAAACGAGUGAGAGAAGCAGCAUCGCACAGAGGGAGAAGCCGAAUAGCGACCAAGUAGCUCUGAAGCUCCCAAAAGAACCGCAGGGAAUUCUGAGGUGGAUUUUCAGAGUUGUCUGAUCGAAGCAAGGGGGGUAGGCAUUUAUUCUCCCUCCUGGACCGGUCAUUCACGCGAGAUGCCUUCUGGGAGGGCACUUGAUCCUGGGUGAGGCACGCCUCUUUGGCUGAGCUGGGGCAGUGAGGGCCUUGGCUAAGGAUUGCAGGAUCUGCGGGGACACCACAGCAUCCUCUACAGAGACUCUUUCUCGGACGGGUAUGCAGGUAUCCCACGCACAUGUUACGUAUUAGAUAUUGUGAAUAUCUUUUUUUCAGCCCGUCAUCCGUCUGUUAGCUCUCAGUGUCAUUUGUUGAGCAGACUCUCUUAAUUAUGAUGUGACCAAAUUAAUAGAUUUCCCUCCUUACUGAUUUGUCCUCAUUCCUUAGGUCGUGAAGAUAUCCUCCUACAUUAUGUUUUUUCAAAAAAUAUAUUUUUACUUUCAAAAUUGGA